RNAcentral lists this long non-coding RNA (895 nucleotides) under Ananas comosus (pineapple). Its description in RNAcentral is "long non-coding RNA (ACOM_LNC003165)". The record is from RNAcentral. Lineage: Eukaryota; Viridiplantae; Streptophyta; Magnoliopsida; Poales; Bromeliaceae.
AGGAGCUUCAGAAACUGUCUGCGGAACAAGCUGCAAUACAGAAGGAUGUAAGCAAAAUGAAGUGGUUAAUGCAGGCGAUUUUUGACAAGUCAGGAUGUUGCCGAGCAGAUUUACCUCCAGGGGAUGAUUCCGAUUAGAUGUUACGGGGUUCCUCCUUUGUCAUUUUGGCGCUUUCUGACAAAAAGGGGGAGAUGAUAUGAUGAUGGCUCAUGAUGAUGAUGAUGUUUAUUUUUGUGUAAAUUUGAUGAUGGUUGUUUAGGUGCUUAACUAUGAACUAUAAGCUAUGACUAUGACUUGUUGCUUUGAUUGCUUUGACUUUAUGUUUGAUCUUUUAUGAUAAAUAUGCUUGAAUCUUGAUUGUGUUUUAAGAAUGUUUUUGUAGGAAUAUUCAAGACUUCAAGACUCCAUGUCUAAGUCAUAGAGUCUGUAAUAAGGUUGUGAAAAUUGUAAUUUUCGUUUAUUGGAUCGAUCAUGCUGGAGAUUGUCGUUUGGUGAUUGCGAUGAUCUUCUUUUUAUUGUUUCUGAGUUGUCUAUGAGCUUUGUAGUAUAUUUUGUCACGAAAUCGGCAAAGAGGGAGAUUGUUAAGGAUUUUAUAGGUUGGCGAAUUUCGUAAAGUUGAAUGGAGUCUUGAAGAGUUGGUCGCGGAAGUUUGAAGAAAAGAUCCAAAUUGAAGAACAAAGACUCAUUCGGAAAGCUCGGCAUCUCAGAUAUGAAGAAUAGAUGAUUUAUGGUGAAGAUGUUUAAUUGUAAUAAGUUCAGAAGGCUUAGAUUGCUUUAAAAAUUCUUUUACUGAACUUUUGUGUGUUCUGGGACCGGUCCUUGUGUUGAAGAGACCGGUUCCCCUAAGGUCCUCACUGCGUGAACACUGAUGCAACCGGUCCCCUGAGAUGAGAGA